AGUGAACGCUGGCGGUAGGCCUAACACAUGCAAGUCGAACGGCAGCACAGCAAGAGCUUGCUCUUACGGGUGGCGAGUGGCGGACGGGUGAGGAAUACAUCGGAAUCUACUUUUUCGUGGGGGAUAACGUAGGGAAACUUACGCUAAUACCGCAUACGACCUACGGGUGAAAGCAGGGGAUCUUCGGACCUUGCGCGAUUGAAUGAGCCGAUGUCGGAUUAGCUAGUUGGCGGGGUAAAGGCCCACCAAGGCGACGAUCCGUAGCUGGUCUGAGAGGAUGAUCAGCCACACUGGAACUGAGACACGUUCCAGACUCCUACGGGAGGCAGCAGUGGGGAAUAUUGGACAAUGGGCGCAAGCCUGAUCCAGCCAUACCGCGUGGGUGGAGAAGGCCUUCGGGUUGUAAAGCCCUUUUGUUGGGAAAGAAAAGCAGCAGGUUAAUACCCCGCUGUUCUGACGGUACCCAAAGAAUAAGCACCGGCUAACUUCGUG
This 492-nucleotide ribosomal RNA is filed under the name uncultured bacterium. Its description in RNAcentral is "partial 16S ribosomal RNA". It matches the Rfam family "Bacterial small subunit ribosomal RNA", at positions 29 to 507 of the family's 1533-position model. The record is from RNAcentral.